GACGAACGCUGGCGGCGUGCUUAACACAUGCAAGUCGAACGGAAAGGCCCCUUCGGGGGUACUCGAGUGGCGAACGGGUGAGUAACACGUGGGCAACCUGCCCUCAGCUUCGGGAUAACACUUGGAAACAGGUGCUAAUACCGGAUAAUAACUUGUCAUCGCAUGGUGGUGGGGUUCAAAGUUUUUCGGCUGAGGAUGGGCCCGCGGCCUAUCAGCUUGUUGGUGGGGUAAUGGCCUACCAAGGCGACGACGGGUAGCCGGCCUGAGAGGGCGACCGGCCACACUGGGACUGAGACACGGCCCAGACUCCUACGGGAGGCAGCAGUGGGGAAUAUUGCGCAAUGGGCGGAAGCCUGACGCAGCGACGCCGCGUGAGGGAUGACGGCC
This 387-nucleotide ribosomal RNA is filed under the name uncultured bacterium. RNAcentral's name for it is "bacterial SSU rRNA". It matches the Rfam family "Bacterial small subunit ribosomal RNA", at positions 28 to 416 of the family's 1533-position model. The record is from RNAcentral.